RNAcentral lists this ribosomal RNA (1773 nucleotides) under Triticum aestivum (bread wheat). RNAcentral's name for it is "partial small subunit ribosomal RNA". The record is from RNAcentral. Lineage: Eukaryota; Viridiplantae; Streptophyta; Magnoliopsida; Poales; Poaceae.
AAAGGUAGCUCUCCGCGGAAGACGUGUCGCUUUUGCGGAAGGCAUAAGGCCAAGUAGGUUCGUUGUGUUCUGUAUGCUCGAGGACAGCUCGGGAAGGGGGCGUCGGUCGCAGCCUCAUCUGCCCUUACCGAAGGGCGGAGUAUUGGUCUAGUUGCCGGCGCCGGGAGGAGAGGGUGGAGGCGAGGUCCUGCGGCUUAGGAUGGGUGGUGGAGGGGUGUGUACCUCGACGGUACAGGAGGGAAGACCCUGGGUGAGUGCCGGAAGCACGGUGGCAGCCUAGUGCGGGGGAGGAGCUCGGCUGAGCCACCAAGAGAAGCGGCCGCGGCCACCACCUCCGCGGCUCCUGCCAACUGCCGGACUGACACCUGAGAUAACGGCUGUUCCCGACCUGCUAGGAGCGGCUGCGGCUCUCGCUGACCGCGUCGGUGCGGCGGCGGCAGCGCGUCAGGUAGUCCGAAUAAUUCUUCGCAGAGUUCACCUUUACCAAUGACCUCUCCAGCUUCGUCAACCGACACCAUAACCUCUUCGGUCUGGAAACCCUCCUAGGUCAAAAACGACCCUUACAAUCAGCACUUGUUCCGCUCGAGUACCCGUUCUAAUUCAGUCACUUGGUUAAACUCGUUGUUAACUACCUCGUGUAGCUGUACAACUCCGAACGUGCACUUCUCCCACUGUUACUUGAGCUCUGCCUUAGGUACUCUCGUAACCGGCUAUACUCUUCUCUACGUUUCCUCUUUCUUGAGUUACGUAACGAAAGACCUCUAUUACUGCAAAUGGGAACGAAGUAACUCCAGGUUCGUCCUCGGCCUCCACAACUCUCGUACCUAACCCGACGGUACCAAUACUUGUACAUGUCUAGUACCCGAGUCGCUGCUCCUAUGUCUCAGUGACAUUAUCUUCUUUAAGGACCACUUGAUCGUCCUUAGUUCUCCCGAUGAUAGUUUCAACUACCACUCAUACGUAAACCUAUACGGUUUAGACUUUAUCCUCAAGUGUCUAAUCACGCCUAAAGAGGUAAACUGUCACCUUUCGCCGCCGUGUGAAGGAAACGACGACAACGACAUUAUGGAUAAGAACCACUCCGGAGAUCGGCUAUGGUCUAUUUGCUUAGUCUAGAAGCCUAACUUGCGAAGGCAAGACCACCUGGACCGCCGGUCGUACGGUUGUGGUGUCUUUCACGACAAUCUUAACACGUGUAGGGUUGACCAUGUUGCCGUUGAACAGUUUUACUUUCCAGUGUUGUAUACUUAUCCCGUAGUCGUUACCGCCACGAAGUUAGAUCCAACCUGGUCGAACUCUAAUGGGCAGUUCGCGUCUACUUACGUCUCGUGUGUGUUAGUGAGAGACUUUAUUCGACCCCUUUGGUUUAUUCUAGCAUACACGAUGUCGGUAUGGCAUACCACUUUCUAGAGGCCUGUUUGAUACUUCACAGACUAGGGCUAAGUCAGGACCUUCCGCUGGACCUGCUAAAGUAUGACUCGAAAAACAGUAAUAGUAACUUAUUUCGACUACUUUCACAGACUUGUGUUUGGUACAAAUAGUACAUAACAAUCGUGGUCGUCUGACACUGUCACGGGUUGACUGUCAUUCUCCCCGAUAAUAAAAGAAAUGAUGUGACUGUUUAUGUUGCCUGUAGAACUCACCGCUUUCCAAGCCACAGACCCUAUUCCACGGUAAAAAAAAACGAGUACAAGUCUACGUACCUCCGCUGGUAUAUGUGACGUUCGAAAGACAACGAGAGCGACCUCCACUUCUUACUUCGUACGCAUGCUC